GAAUUCUGAAUCAUGUCAAGGC
This 22-nucleotide non-coding RNA is filed under the name Arabidopsis thaliana (thale cress). Lineage: Eukaryota; Viridiplantae; Streptophyta; Magnoliopsida; Brassicales; Brassicaceae. The record is from RNAcentral.